CCUACGGGAGGCAGCAGUGGGGAAUAUUGGACAAUGGGGGCAACCCUGAUCCAGCCAUGCCGCGUAUGUGAAGAAGGCCCUCGGGUUGUAAAGCACUUUCAGUGAGGAAGAACGCCUGGUGGUUAAUACCCAUCAGGAAAGACAUCACUCACAGAAGAAGCACCGGCUAACUCCGUGCCAGCAGCCGCGGUAAUACGGAGGGUGCGAGCGUUAAUCGGAAUUACUGGGCGUAAAGCGCGCGUAGGUGGCUUGAUAAGCCGGUUGUGAAAGCCCCGGGCUCAACCUGGGAACGGCAUCCGGAACUGGCAAGCUAGAGUGCAGGAGAGGAAGGUAGAAUUCCCGGUGUAGCGGUGAAAUGCGUAGAGAUCGGGAGGAAUACCAGUGGCGAAGGCGGCCUUCUGGACUGACACUGACACUGAGGUGCGAAAGCGUGGGUAGCAAACAGGAUUAGAUACCCCUGUAGUC
Molecule: ribosomal RNA, 465 nt
Filed under: Vreelandella stevensii
Lineage: Bacteria; Pseudomonadati; Pseudomonadota; Gammaproteobacteria; Oceanospirillales; Halomonadaceae
Description: partial 16S ribosomal RNA
Rfam family: Bacterial small subunit ribosomal RNA
Source: RNAcentral